GACUUUGUCAAAGUCAAAUUAUAGGUGAAAGUCCUUUAUGUCUCU
This 45-nucleotide transfer RNA is filed under the name Martes americana caurina. RNAcentral's name for it is "partial tRNA-Asp". The record is from RNAcentral. Lineage: Eukaryota; Metazoa; Chordata; Mammalia; Carnivora; Mustelidae.